This 73-nucleotide transfer RNA is filed under the name Desmophyllum pertusum. RNAcentral describes it as "Lophelia pertusa tRNA". It matches the Rfam family "tRNA". From Rfam's summary of the family: Transfer RNA (tRNA) molecules are approximately 80 nucleotides in length. The record is from Rfam by way of RNAcentral. Lineage: Eukaryota; Metazoa; Cnidaria; Anthozoa; Scleractinia; Caryophylliidae.
GGCUUCAUAGCUCAGAUGGUAGAGUAUCACACCGAUAACGCGGAGGUCAUGGGUUCAAAUCCCAUUGAAGCCC